Molecule: ribosomal RNA, 373 nt
Filed under: uncultured bacterium
Lineage: Bacteria
Description: bacterial SSU rRNA
Rfam family: Bacterial small subunit ribosomal RNA
Source: RNAcentral
GACGAACGCUGGCGGCGUGCUUAACACAUGCAAGUCGAGCGGUAAGGCCCUUUCGGGGGUACACGAGCGGCGAACGGGUGAGUAACACGUGGGUGACCUGCCCUUAGCUCUGGGAUAAGCCUGGGAAACUGGGUCUAAUACCGGAUAUGACUCCAUAACGCAUGUUGUGGGGUGGAAAGCCUUGUGCGGCUAGGGAUGGGCCCGCGGCCUAUCAGCUUGUUGGGUGGGGUGAUGGCCACCAAGGCGACGACGGGUAGCCGGCCUGAGAGGGCGACCGGCCACACUGGGACUGAGACACGGCCCAGACUCCUACGGGAGGCAGCAGUGGGGAAUCUUGCGCAAUGGGCGAAAGCCUGACGCAGCGACGCCGCGU